AGUGAACGCUGGCGGUAGGCCUAACACAUGCAAGUCGAACGGCAGCACAGUAAGAGCUUGCUCUUACGGGUGGCGAGUGGCGGACGGGUGAGGAAUACAUCGGAAUCUACUUUUUCGUGGGGGAUAACGUAGGGAAACUUACGCUAAUACCGCAUACGACCUACGGGUGAAAGCAGGGGAUCUUCGGACCUUGCCCGAUUGAAUGAGCCGAUGCCGGAUUAGCUAGUUGGCGGGGUAAAGGCCCACCAAGGCGACGAUCCGUAGCUGGUCUGAGAGGAUGAUCAGCCACACUGGAACUGAGACACGGUCCAGACUCCUACGGGAGGCAGCAGUGGGGAAUAUUGGACAAUGGGCGCAAGCCUGAUCCAGCCAUACCGCGUGGGUGAAGAAGGCCUUCGGGUUGUAAAGCCCUUUUGUUGGGAAAGAAAAGCAGCAGGUUAAUACCCCGCUGUUCUGACGGUACCCAAAGAAUAAGCACCGGCUAACUUCGUG
This 492-nucleotide ribosomal RNA is filed under the name uncultured bacterium. RNAcentral describes it as "partial 16S ribosomal RNA". It matches the Rfam family "Bacterial small subunit ribosomal RNA", at positions 29 to 507 of the family's 1533-position model. The record is from RNAcentral.